This 163-nucleotide ribosomal RNA is filed under the name uncultured bacterium. RNAcentral's name for it is "partial 16S rRNA". It matches the Rfam family "Bacterial small subunit ribosomal RNA", at positions 355 to 511 of the family's 1533-position model. The record is from RNAcentral.
UAGGGAAUCUUCCACAAUGGACGCAAGUCUGAUGGAGCAACGCCGCGUGAGUGAAGAAGGUUUUCGGAUCGUAAAGCUCUGUUGUUGGUGAAGAAGGAUAGAGGCAGUAACUGGUCUUUAUUGACGGUAAUCAACCAGAAAGUCACGGCUAACUACGUACCAG